RNAcentral lists this non-coding RNA (21 nucleotides) under Arabidopsis thaliana (thale cress). Lineage: Eukaryota; Viridiplantae; Streptophyta; Magnoliopsida; Brassicales; Brassicaceae. The record is from RNAcentral.
AUGCACAUAUAAUGUCACCGU